UACGAAGGGGACUAGCGUUGUUCGGAAUCACUGGGCGUAAAGCGCACGUAGGCGGAUUCGUAAGUCAGGGGUGAAAUCCCGGGGCUCAACCUCGGAACUGCCUUUGAUACUGCGGGUCUUGAGUCCGAUAGAGGUGGGUGGAAUUCCUAGUGUAGAGGUGAAAUUCGUAGAUAUUCGGAAGAACACCAGUGGCGAAGGCGGCUCACUGGCCCGUUACCGACGCUCAGGCGCGACAGCGUGGGGAGCAAACAGG
RNAcentral lists this ribosomal RNA (253 nucleotides) under uncultured bacterium. Its description in RNAcentral is "partial 16S ribosomal RNA". It matches the Rfam family "Bacterial small subunit ribosomal RNA", at positions 524 to 776 of the family's 1533-position model. The record is from RNAcentral.